RNAcentral lists this long non-coding RNA (19512 nucleotides) under Nicotiana benthamiana. Its description in RNAcentral is "long non-coding RNA (NBEN_LNC012779)". The record is from RNAcentral. Lineage: Eukaryota; Viridiplantae; Streptophyta; Magnoliopsida; Solanales; Solanaceae.
CCUUUGUCUCUCAAACUCUCUCAAGUCGUCUCUGAAACCCUAGCCCCUUUUCCACUGGUUUCCGCCUUAUCUCACCGGAAACCAUGGCCUCUCAAGCCCUGGGUAGCCUGUACUCACUCCCCCGUGCCCUAAUACUCUUGUUAUGAGAAAUUCCAAGGUCCAACCUUAAAGACCAUGGCUCAGAAUCCCUCCGAUUCAGGUUCUAUGGCCAUCUCGUGCUCAUCUCCGGCGUAUCCUAGCCUUGCGAGAUCAUCUCCAACUCGGACCAGCCCUUUCAGGCCUUUCUCAUUUUUCUAGGGUUUCUCUGAAACCCUAAGCCAUUUUUGAGAUAUUCUUGUUCUUCUCUAGACAUACCUUAAAUAUGUGCUAUUUCUAAGAUUUUCAAAGUUUUUCUUACCUCUUUUCCGAUUUUUUCUUUCAAAACGGUUCGUCUUCUAGAACCUAGGUUUUCCUUGAUUUUUAUAUGUUCUGCUGUGAUUUCCUACAUUAUUUCUCCUUACUAUAACUCCUAAAUAUUUUUACUAUGAUUUCUAUGUAUUUUCUUUACUAUAUUUUCCUCCUAGGGUUUCUAGUGAUUUCUUUUACUGUGUUUGCUUCGAUGAAAUGUUUGUGUUCUUUGGGUUUUCCUGAGUUUAUUUUAUCUGAUUUUCUAUGUUUCGUCUUUGCAUGUAAGUUGUGGGGGAAAACCCUAAAUUUUGGGGGUUUUCAACCAUUCAUGUACAAUUGUUUUGAUUCUUGUGUUGUUUCCUGUCUGAUUUCAAAAACCCUAAUCUCCAUAUUCUUCUCAUGUUCUCUGAUUCUUACUAAGCUUUGCAAGACCCUCUGAUUUCUUGCAUAGCUAUGUUCUUCUAUUUCUGAUUGCAUGACCACUCUAUGUAUUUAAUUUUAGACUCUGCAUGUUUAAUCUUAUGCAUCCUUUAUGGUCAGACCUUUUCCUCUCAAAAUAACCCUAAUUUUUGGGGAUUGAUUUCAGACCACCAUUCUGUGAGUCUGUUUGAAGUUUUCCAUGUCUAAUUUGGACCAGUUUUCUGACUUAAUUCAGUGUUGAGUUCGAAUCCUUAAUUCCUUAAUUUACUACGUGUUAUUAAUUUUAUUAUUACCUUGUUUAUCCAAAUUGUGUACUUUUAAAACUUCCUUUAUGUAUUUACCUUUUUACUACACAAUGUGUUUUUGAUUUUCUGUCCUUAAAUAAAAAAAUUCUACCCUCUCCUAUUCAGAUUCGAACUCCUUAAUUAAAGGAGUUCUCUUCUCCUGAUUGAUUAUGAUUGAUAAUGAACUAUUUCUUGCCUUGUUUAAUUUCCUAUUUUCAACUAUAAAUACCUCACUCUUUUUCUUUAAAACAGACGAACAAUUGAGUUCAAAAACACACACACACUCAAAGCUCUCUUCUUUACUAUUAUUUGUGCUAUUGUUCUGACUAGCCGGCAGAAAGCCAAGGCUAGACUUUGGAAUCUCUCUUGCUUUCCUCAAGUGUUUGCUGAAGAUUUCUUGGCUAUUUUCUUACUUUGUUUGUUCUGCUAUUUGAAAGUUGCAACUGGUAUGUCCCUUUAAGUUAAACACUCUCCACAACUAUGUUUUUAAUUCUCCUUUUUGCAUGUCCCUCACUAUAUGUUCAUCUUUCUCGCACUAUGUAAUUGUGUUUUAGACUGUUAUGUUCAUUCUUCAUGUUUCUGCAUCUUUAAGUUAUAUUACUUGAGGUUUUUCCAUGUGAACCCUUUCCCUGACCCCUUUAUGUGUGAGUACUAUUCUAGGUUAGGAUAGCAUCCCAUUGCUAUCCAUGACCUGGAACCAGGUCCUUUUGGACCCUUACUCAAAUCAGUCACAUUCCCUUCUCCCCUUUAUGUGUUGAGCCUUGACUAGGGUUUGGAUGUGUCCUAAACACCACCAAAGCCCAUGUCUGACUUCUAAAUUCUGUUCUUUAUCUGUUUAAACCAAGUGGAGGGUCAGGGGUGUGCCAGUCUUACCCAUGGCUGGGUAUNNNNNNNNNNNNNNNNNNNNNNNNNNNNNNNNNNNNNNNNNNNNNNNNNNNNNNNNNNNNNNNNNNNNNNNNNNNNNNNNNNNNNNNNNNNNNNNNNNNNNNNNNNNNNNNNNNNNNNNNNNNNNNNNNNNNNNNNNNNNNNNNNNNNNNNNNNNNNNNNNNNNNNNNNNNNNNNNNNNNNNNNNNNNNNNNNNNNNNNNNNNNNNNNNNNNNNNNNNNNNNNNNNNNNNNNNNNNNNNNNNNNNNNNNNNNNNNNNNNNNNNNNNNNNNNNNNNNNNNNNNNNNNNNNNNNNNNNNNNNNNNNNNNNNNNNNNNNNNNNNNNNNNNNNNNNNNNNNNNNNNNNNNNNNNNNNNNNNNNNNNNNNNNNNNNNNNNNNNNNNNNNNNNNNNNNNNNNNNNNNNNNNNNNNNNNNNNNNNNNNNNNNNNNNNNNNNNNNNNNNNNNNNNNNNNNNNNNNNNNNNNNNNNNNNNNNNNNNNNNNNNNNNNNNNNNNNNNNNNNNNNNNNNNNNNNNNNNNNNNNNNNNNNNNNNNNNNNNNNNNNNNNNAAGUUCAACCCCCCCCCCCAUGGUAAGCCAUGCUUAGGAGACCCUAGAGUUCUCUCUAACCUUAUAUGCCUAAGGGCUGGUAAUUCCACACAUUGUACUACUCUAUUACAACAUUCAGUCUUUAAAGUGUAAGCAUUGCCUGAGUUCCUGAAAGCCCUUGGAACUUUAAAACACUCUAAGAGAAGGCCUUGGAAUCUUGAAUCCGGAUUUGGUGAAACACGUGUAUUGGAUGUUGAAGGUUGCACUGAGCCUCCUCAGGUCUGGCUUUAGUUUUGAUGUACUUACUUCAGUCUUUUUCUUUCCAGUUUCGUAAUAACUAUGUAAUAAAACUCGGGAAAAAUAUUAGUAAAGGUUUUGGGAUGGGUUUAUAUUUCUUGCAUAAGUCAAUAGGUAGAAUUCAUGUCUAUAGGACCUUUUAUGCUUUAAUCAUCUAUAUACUAUGCCUAUGGGAUUCUAAUAUUGCAUAUCAUUUAGAAAUCAUGUCUAUAGGAUCUUUCAUGCUUCAAUCAUCUAGUAACCAUGCCUAUAGGACUUUAAUAUUGCAAAGCAUCUAGACGCCAUGCCUAUAGGACUUUAAUAUUGCAAAUCACUUAGAAAUUAUGCCAAUAGGAUUCUAAUAUUGCAAAUCAUUUGGAGUCAUGUCUGUAGGACUGUGCAUUGUAGUUAAAAUAGAGAUCCUGCCUAUAUGAAACGCAUAAAACAUUAGGCAAACCAAAGGGUAACUCUCUCACAUGCUUUAAAAAUUCAAUGUAGACAUUAUGACUAUAGGAUUCCAUCUCAACUUGUUUGGUUCAUUUUAAACAAUAACAGUCCGUUAAUUGGCCCUUUAAUGUAGUAAUACAAUGUUUUCAAUAAAACUCUUGUAAAUCAGUAUGCUUUUAAAAACAUUUCAAAUCUGCAUCUUUUCCUAAACAGUUCUUUUAAACAUUCUGCCUAAAUGUUUUACUUAGUCACUGAAAUCGUCUUUGAAAUAGUCCUGUAACUCGCUCUUUUUCUUGAGAUAUUCCUCCCUCUGAAACUAUUUCAUACAGUCCCUGAGAUUGUCUUUUAAAUAGUCCUGUAAUUCAUUCUUUUCUUAAGACAUUCCGGCCUCUAAAAAUCUUUCAUAACUCUGCUGCAUUUUUUUCUUUUCUACUCAAACAGUCUGUUGUUUCAAAAUCCAUUUACAAAUUUACUGCAGUCUUUACUUGCUUUUAACUCUUCUACAUUAAGACCUCAAUAACUAACAAAUCAGACCCGAUGGGCUCAAUGUAGACUUUUAUUCAACUUUAUGAGUUAAAUUGAUUCAUCCCCCUCGUAAUUUCUUAACUUUACAGACCAAACCAGUUCGUGCAAUUCAUGCUAAACUAAUUGAUGUUAUGAUCUAUGGAGUUUUGUGUGAGCCUUUGAAUGUUUGAUUUGUACCCCCCUUAUUUUUUAUUUGUUUGUAUUUACGCUUUAGUAUUUUAUCCUUUUAAACUCCAUAUAUGCUGCCAUCCAUUUUCUUCCCCCUUUAGAAUAGAAGUCCUAAUACCCCGGGACUGAUAGGUCGGGACGGGUAUUAGCAUGUAAUAAGUAAACGAGUCUAAUCGCGUUUAAAUACCUUAACAGGGUGGGAAAGGCAGAAUAUAGAGAUGAUGAUGAUGCCUAAUAUCUCGUGUGAGAAAGAUUGCUGGGUAUUGCACUGAAUGACCCAUAUUAUAAUUAAACCUAGGACUCCUUCUUUUCUUGCUUUUCCUUUAUUUAAAUUAAUAUUUUCUUCAAACUAAGCUUUCUUUUCACUUGUGCCUUUCUUCUUUCAAAAUUGUUAACUUUAUUAUGUGCAAACUUUGCUUGUUUAUUCCUACUCUUCUUAAAGUAACAACUAAGCAUAGCCGAGAACCACAUACUGGAUCUUGAGGGGUGCCUAACACCUUCCCCUCGAGAUAAUCUCAAGCCAUUACCCGAACUGUGGUUUUUCUUUCAAAAUUAUCUUCUUUUAAGUGUCCUAGUGCACUAUAAUCAUUAGGUGGCGACUCUCCAAACUCCAUUGCCCAAAUUCCCCAAAAGUGGGAUAAAUGAGUCAUUCCACCCAUAAUGUCGUAAUCCCGAUUUCUCCUUGGAAAAGAGGGGCCGUCGACAGCAUGGUGACUCUGUUGGGGAUUUUCUAUAAGGCUUUUACCAUUACUUAUUUUUGUGACAUUAUCGCUUCCUUAAUCGCAUUUAUUUCUCGUCCUUGGUUAUUUCAUCAUAUAACUAACUUGGCUCUUCAUGUUUUCCUUUCCUUUUAAUAUCCGCCUUACUGCCUUAUUAUUUCAAUAUUAUUAAAAAUUCGAGCAACCAUUGUAUUCAUUUAUCUUAUGAACGUGAAAAUAUGUGUAAUUUGUUUCAUUAUUAUAACUGCAUUCCUCAACAUCAUAUGCCACUCGUGCCAAAACAAAUCCUAUAGCAACGCUUAUAAUGAAUGGUUGCGCCCUUCAGAUAUUAUAAACCCCCUAAAUGUGGCAAAGGCAUAUUUGCGGUAAAAUUAGUCGAUCAAUGAUCUAGUCGACGGUUCCGCGCCUUUCCCUCUUGAGUUGUACGCUAAAGGGUACCUUGCAUAGCACUUCAAAAGUAGAAACUUUAUUCCAUUAAACCGUUCAUGCAUCAUGGUCAACCCUAGCCAAGUCAGUUAUAUUGUCCACAUAAUGACUCCUAAGAUAGCCUAAACAAAGUCCAUCGGGUUUUCUCGAAACCCAAACAGACGCCUUCACGUUAUAUGCAUUUAUUUGGAGAACUAAAUUCCUUUUUCUAAUUAUUGAUUUAAAUAGUCGAGUCUGCUGGGGUUAAGGGCCUAACACUUUAUUUUGCAGAAAAUGAGUCACGAGGUCCCCAGAUUCGGUUUGGUAUCCAACGUUCACCCAACGUUACUCAGCCGGUCGGAAGAUCUUCAUGGCAGUGAUCAAACCCUCAUCCACAAGAACUUAGGGAAUUUGCCCUCACUUUUGGAAAUCCAGCCCAACAAUAAGAUCAUUGGGAUUGACACAUUGUUUUGGGAUAGUGAUCGAUCAGUGUUCCGCUUUGGAGACUUGAAAAUUAACCCUUUUUCCAGAAGAGAUAGGGGGCCUAGUUGGUAUCCCUAGGGAGACUCCGGGUUUGCUUAUGCCGGAAAACCAAAAAGGUAGAGGCUUUUUUUAAUAUGAUGGGACUCAAGAAAAAUCCCGGCCUCUCUUGCUUGAAGGACGUCUACAUACCAUUUGACUUCUUGUACGAGAGAUAUGGUCACAGCAAGUCCUAUCGCACCUACAUGGACGAAUUCACUCUCACUUCUUUGGGACAUAUACAUAGAAGGGUCUUUAUGUUCAUGUUUUGCUUCUUGGGCAUGGUAAUUUUUCCUAUGAAGAAGGCUAGGAUCCACAACAGACUAGCCAUGGUGACCAAGACCUUAAUGGAAGGAAUCGACGAGCAGUCUUUCCGCAUAGUACCUAUGAUCAUCGCUGAAAUCUAUCAAGACUUGGGAAAGUGUCCGCAAGGGGCUCCAUAUUUCGAGGGUUGUAAUCUGCUACUUCAACUUUGGCUCACUGAACACCUUCAGAAAGGCGACUACAGAUAGGAAAUCAUAGGCAUGGAUUGGGAUGACCCUAUCGUUUUUCAUCACCCAAAGUGAAUGAACUUUAUGCCCAACAUGUUCGCUCAGCCAGAGGACGCUAGUGGAUGGGUAGAGUUGUUCGAGAAUCUAAAGGAAGAGCAAACUUAGUGGAUGUUCGAGUGGUUCCCAACAGGGGAAUUCAUUGUCCGUUCUCGAGACGCACCAUUCCUCAUACUCAUCGGUCUGAGGGGAACUCAUCCUUAUGUCCCCCUCCGAGUCAUGACGCAAGCCGGAAGGAAACAAAUCAUACCCGGGAUAGAGAAGAUGAGUCAUUUCAGGGCUGAAUUUUAAGAUGACGAUAGCCCGCACAGGUGUCACGCUCAGCAUAUGUGGCAUUGCAAGCUCGUCUUAGAAGAAGAGUCUAUCGAACCAGAUAGGUAUCAUGCUGGGUGUGUGCCGCACUACAGAGGCCAUAAGACAAGCUGGAAGAAACCAAAUCAUACCCAGGAUAGAGAACAUGAGUCAUUUCAAGGCUGACUUUCAAGAUGAUGAUAGCCCGCACAGGUGUCACGCUCAGCAUAUAUGGCACUGCAAUCUAGUCUUAGGGAAGGAGUCUACUGAACUAGACAGGUAUAAUGACGGGUGUGUGCCGCACUACACAAGUUGGUUGGAAGAUGAUCACAUUGGUUUGGGUUGUCCAGGGUUUUUCCAUGGUCAUUGGAUUAUUGAUGAGAAAAUUGAAGCGCAAGUACAAUAACCUACACAAGAGGAUGCGAGAAUGUGAGAAUGAACAUCGGGAAAUACAAGAAUCCCACGAGAAGUUGAUCAACGAAUGGAAAAAUAUGGAUGUCAAAGCCAACAGCUCGCUUGGGUAUCUGGAGCGAGGUCUAGUAGAGUUGGAAGGAAAGUUCUUGAAAAGAAUCAAAGACAGCUAGAAUGCUGAAGGAAGUGCAGGCGGACAUCUGGCUCAAGCUUAUCUACUUUUAGGAAUGCGCGAGUUGAUGCUGAUGUACGAGGGAGGCAAGAGUACCGAAUCUGGGGAAGGUCCUUCUCGGACCAAGUAGCUAGGAUUUUUAUUUUUCUGCUUCAAUGUAAUAAGGCCACUGGCCAUUAGUGACGUCUUUAUCAUUCAGUUAUCUUGUUUUUAUCAAUAAAAUGAGGCAUCUAGCAUUAUAUCUCCAAAAUUAAUUUUUCCUUAGGCUUACCUUGGGCACAACGAGGCACCCAAAUUAGGAAUUGAUUUAUAUUCCUGCACAAUAUGUUUAAAUAUCGCAAUAUUAUAUUAUCACAAUUCGCACUAACUUGUUACUUUUUUUCUUUUUUUGUAUUUUUAUCCUCCCCAAGGUUAGUUUGUGCAUUCUGGCACCAUCAACAUACUCAACAAGAUCCAAGAGUCCUCCACCUCCUCCUCCUCCUCCUCCUCCAAGUCUUACCAGAAACAGGAACUAAGGCCAAAUGGGAGAUACAAGCGCUAGAAAGGAACUCGAGGAAACUUCUCAGAUUGCUGCAAUUACCAAAGAAACUGUUGCUCAUCUGGAGCAAACUCUGCUAAGAUUCUGAGAGGAAUUGGACCAAGUUAGAAACCUGGCAAGCCUAUCAAUCACUCUUGCCUCUCCUGACAUUAACAUCCACAAUCCUCACCACCACAAAACACCCCACAACCUCCAAUACCCACUCACAACACUCCACUACUUAUUCAUGAACCACAAAAUGCCACAAAAGACCAUAACGCUUGUGGACACCAUGCCACACUACAGUCAGCCAAUCACCAGUGCAUCCGAGUCAGAUGACAAGAGUUCCCUCAAUCAGAAUUUGGCCGCUUAGAUCAAGAAGUUGACUAGUCAAGUUCAAGGUUUCGAAGGUAACAAAGGUGCCGAAGGGUUGAAUUAUGAAGACCUCUAUGUUCAGCCAGAUGUUGAGCUCCCGGAAGGGUACAAACCUCCCAAGUUCGAAAUGUUCGAUGGUACAGGUGAUCCCAGGGUCCACUUGAGAAUGUAUUAUGACAAGUUUGUAGGAGUCGGAAGGGACGAGAAAAUGUACAUGAAGGUGUUCAUAAGGAGUUUGAAGGGUGAUGCUUUAUCCUGGUAUAUUAGCCAGGAUGCGAAGAAAUGGACUAGUUGGGUGAACAUGGCAUAUGACUUUAUGGACCGGUUUAGGUUCAAUUCUGAAAAUGCAGCAGAUGUGUUCUAUAUCCAGAAUCUCAAGAAGAAGCCCACAGAGACCUUUCACGGGUAUGCUACUCGUUGGAAAUCGGAAGCUGCUAAGAUUAGACCGGCCUUGGAGGAAGAACAAAUGUACAGGUUCUUCGUUUGUGCUCAAGAUCCGUAGUACUACGACAUGCUGAUGCUAAUAGAGGGCCAAAAGUUUUUCGACAUCAUCAAGUUGGGAGAAAGGAUUGAAGAAGGCAUCAAAAACGGUAUGGUCACUAACCUCGAGGCAUUGCAGGCUACCAACAAGGCUUUACAAUCUGGAGGAUCGUCAAAGAAAAAGGAUGUAAAUUCUGUAAUAGUUGUGCAAAGGACCAAUUCCCCUAUGAAGUACCAAACCUAUCCCUCAGCUCCACUUACAUAUCAACCUACCUUAAACUACCAAGCACCAGAAGAAAAAGGAUGUAAAUUCCGUAAUGGCUGCACAAAGGAACAAUUCUCCUAUAAAGUACCAAACCUAUCCCUUAGCUCCACUUAUAUAUCAAGCUACCCUAAACUACCAAGCACCAUCACCCGCUUACUAAAUUCCACCACCUUACCAAUCAUCUCCACCACCCACAUAUCAAUCUACCUCACCCAGAUAUUCACACCUGCACCUGUAUACCAAGCAUACCUUCCCACUACCCAUCACCACCUACCAGCCAAAACUUUCCUCGACCUAGACCAAACUUCGACCGUAAACCCUCUAGACAAUAUACCGUCAUAGCCAAGCCAAUUGACCAAUUAUAUUAAAAACUCAAAGCAGUCGGUUACAUUACCUAUAUCCCAAUUGUAACUCUAGAAAAUCCUUCCUAAUGGAUCAACCCAAAAAAAAACUUGCGCAUACCAUUCCGGGAUGAAGGGUCAUACCAUCGACGAGUGUUACUCGUUUAAAAAAAAGAUUCAGAAUCUAAUUGACAACAAGAUCAUUAUACCAAAGGAUCCCGCUCCUAGUGUCCGCGACAACCGUCUAGCUAACCAAAAGGGUGGAGGCAUCCACGUGAUCUAGAUCGAAGAUGAUUGGGACCCCAAGGGGUCAAUCGGUUUGAUAGUUGAAGGAGACGAACCUAAGAAGCCAACAUUUACUCUUAAUCCCAUUAUUGUUCAGGUUCCACCCUUUGAGGAUGAUGUGGUAAAUGUGUCUAUGCCGCUCGAGUUUGAAGCACCUCCUGAAAAGGCGCCAAAACCAAUUGAGGUUGAGUUCGAGGUUCCAAAGGUGCCUACAACGUUUGAAUUCACUGUGUUACCUCUUUCAGUGUACAAUUUCUAGUCUCCAUGACAGACAUGACCCCGUUCAAAACAAAUUCUAUACCUUGGGAUUACACCGCUGAGGCUAGAAGGAAGGGAAAAACAUAUACCGGGGAAGCAAUUGCCGCACAGGGCAUGACUAGGACAGGCAGGAUAUGCACCCCGGAGCAUUUGGCUGAGUCCACCAAUCCGGUCGGGCCGUUGAAAAUGGACCCGAUGAUCGUUGGAGAAAGGUACGGGCCAAAGAGUACUCAGUCAUCGAGCAACUGAACAAAACUCCAGCACAGAUUUCUCUUCUGGCUCUUCUGAGUGAAGCUUACGUUCCCAGCAAUAUAACAGGAGGCAAAAUGGCCAAUAUGGUGAGGCAGGUACUGUAAAGCCACAAGAUCACCUUCCACGAGGAAGAAUUACCACCAGAAGGGCUUGGUCACAACAAAGCGUUGCACAUCACUACGCAAUGCGAGGAUCACUUUAUCACCGGGAUUCUAGUCGACAGGGGAUCCAGCCUCAAUAUUUGUCCAUUGAUAACUCUCAGGACAUUGGGUAACGGAUUGCACGAGAUCAAAGACGGAGCUAUCAUUGUCAAAGCUUUUGAUGGAUCUCAAAGACCCACCAUUAGAGAAAUUAGCCUAUGCCUACAGUAGGGAACCACCUGGUUUGAUGUUGAGUUCCAAUUCAUUGACGUGCCGGCAUCCUACAAUUUGUUGCUCGGACGACCCUAGAUCCAUGCUAAUGGGGCUGUGGCAUCAACUUUGCAUCAAGCUUUAAAAUUUGAAUGGGAUCAUCAGGAAGUAAUCAUUCAUGGCGACGGUAGCAACCCUACAUACAGUCGCCAGGCCAUCUUGAUGAUCGGAGGAAGAAUGAAAUUAGGUGGAGAAACACACCAUCACAUCGAGCGAGUCAACGCCAUAGACAAAUACAAGUGGUGGGAUAACAAAAUUGAGUGCAUUCUGAAUUGGAGCGGAUACGAGCCCGGAAAAGGAAUUGGCAAGAAUCUCGAGGGCAUCACCAAGCCUAUCAAAUUGAAGAAGCAUGGUACCACUUUUGUCCUGGGGUAUGAGUACACCUGGGAGGCGUUCAACCAUUGGUCACCACUGUGGCGUAGUCCAUACUACCCACUAGAGCACCCUCUACCUCAGUUAAAGAAGACCUUUCAGCCAGAUGACAUCAUAUAUGGAUCAGAGGAAGAUGAGACACUGGCAGUAAUCAAGAACCUGUUUCUAGAGAAUGAUAUGGAUUGUUGUGUUAUGUUUGAGGAGGAAGAGGAGGAAGGUCCUUCCAUUCAAGCUGCGAACCAAGGGUAACACCCAGUGCCUGGAGAGCCUCAGGGUAGCAAGGCUAAACGACGCAUAUGCAUCACAUUUUACUUUUAGUUGAUUUUACUUUUCCGCAUUAUCUUUACUUUUGAAAAGAGCUCCGAUGUUUCAGACAAUCAUGAAUUUAAUCAAAAGCAUUUUCCAAGUUAAUCUUUAUAUCUCGCUCUUAUUUUCUCUACCAUUUACUUUAUUUUACACAACCUUACUAUUACAUAUCUUGAUGAUGAACCAACAACUGUAACUUGCAACAAGACAAUGCGACAAACAGACAUAGAUUUAGAAGAGGACGAAAUACUAUAAGAAGUUGUCAGAGAGGUCGAGAAUUCUGAGAACGGGCCUAAGUAUAACUUGGACGAAACUGAGGUUGUUAAUCUAGGAGACUCAGAAAAUGCCAACUAAACACGUAUCAGCGUACACUUGUCGCCAUCAGAAAAGAAAGAGUACACAAAGUUUUUUAAAGAAUAUGAGGAUAUAUUUGCCUAUUCGUAUGAUGAUAUGACAAGUCUCAGCACAUCCAUUAUGGCUCACAAGCUGCCGACAGACCCAACAUGCCCACCAGUAAAACAGAAACUCAGAAAGUUCAAGCCAGACAUGAGUUUGAAAAUCAAAGAAGAGGUUACCAAGAAAGACAAAGCCAUGCUUCUCAAUGUGGUAGAGUAUCCAAUAUGGUUAGCCAACAUCGUGCCGGUAACAAAGAAGGAUGGGAAGGUUAGAGUCUGUGUCGAAUAAUAGGGUCCUCAAAGUGGUAGAAUAUCCAACAUGGUUAUCCAACAUCGUGCCGGUACCAAAGAAGGAUGGAAAGGUUAGAGUCUGUGUCGACUACUGGGAUCUCAAUCAGGCCAGUCCUAAGGACGAUUUCCCUUUACCAAAUAUACACAUAUUGAUUGAUAACUGCGCCAAACAUGAGCUGCAUUCAUUCAUCAAUUGUUUUGUUGGAUACCACCAGAUAUUGAUGGAUGAAGAAGAUGCAUAGAAAACGGCAUUCAUCACGCCGUGGAGAAUGUAAUAUUACAGAAUAAUGCCGUUUGGAUUGAAGAAUGUUGGUGCUACCUACAUGAGAUCCAUGACCACCAUCUUUCAUGAUAUGAUACAUAAAGAAAUUGAGGUGUAUGUAGACGAUGUCUUCAUUAGAUCCAAGAAAGUUGUAGAUCAUAUGGAAGAUUUGAGAAAAUUCUUUAACAGACGAAGGAGAUACAACUUAAAACUAAACCCCGCCAAGUGCACAUUCGGGGUCCUAGCUGGAAAGUUGUUGGGUUUCAUUGUGAGUCACCAGGGAAUAGAAUUGGAUCCAUCAAAAGUCAAAGCCAUUCACGUUUUCCACCGCCAAGUAACAAGAAAUAUGUAAUGAGUUUUCUGGGGAGACUCAGCUAUAUCGGCCGAUUCAUAGAUCAAUCAACUGUCAUUUGUGAACCAGUCUUCAAGAUGCUAAAAAAGGAUACCGCCACUAAAUGGACUGAGGAUUGUCAAAAGGCUUUUGACAGAAUCAAGGAAUACUUGUCGACACCGCCCGUCUUUGUUCCACCCGAGCCAGAGAGGCCUCUAUUGCUUUAUCUUGCAGUAUUUGGUGGGGCAUUUGGUUGUGUUUUAGGACAACAUGAUGAAACAGGAAGAAAGAAGCAAGUCCGCCAGUCUUGGUUCCACCCGAGCCAGGGAGACCUCUAUUACUUUAUCUUGUAGUAUUGGAUGGGGUAUUUGAUUGCGUUUUGGGACAACAUGAUGAAAUGGGGGGAGAAAGGAUAAAUCCAUCUACUACCUCGGCAAGAAGUUUACCCCGUACGAGGCUCGGUAUUCCUUAUUAGAACACACUUGUUGUGCUCUAACCUAGGUAGCUUAGAAAUUAAGGCUCUAUUUCUGUGCUUACACCACUUAUCUCAUAUCCAGGAUGGACCCAUGGAAAUAUCUCUUUCAGAAAACCAUGCGUACCCGUAAACUCGGCAAAUGGAUAAACUAAGGCAUUACUUCUGCGCUUACACCACUUAUCUCAUAUCCAGGACGGAUUCAUUGAAAUAUAUCUAUUAGAAUCCCAUGCCCACCGACAAGCUCGCCAAGUGGCAGAUACUAUUAAGUGAGUUUGGACAUUGUUUAUGUUACCCAAAAGGCAGUAAAAGGACAAGCUCUGGAAGAUCACCUCGCCGAGAACCCUCUAGGAGGAGAAUACGAACCACUAAAGACAUAUUUUCCUGAUGAAGAGGUAGCUUUCAUAUGAGAAGACAUUGCAAAUCUUAUGAUGGUUGGAGGAUGUUUUUCGACGGACCCGCAUAUUUCAAAGGAGUUGGUAUAGGAGCGGUCUUGGUAUCAGAAACCGGUCUGCAUUACCCAGUAUCCGCCAAACUUAGAUUCACAUGCACCGACAACAUGACCGAGUAUGAAGCCUGCAUCUUGGGGCUCAAAUUGGCAAUUGACAUGAACAUUCUGGAACUAUUAGUGAUCGUAGACUCGAACCUACUCAAACAUCAGGUUCGAGAAGAAUGGGUGACCAAGAAUUCCAAGAUACUCCCUUACCUACACCAUAUGCAAGAGUUGAGGAAAAGAUUCAGAAAUACGGAAUUCCAGCACGUUCCCAGAACACAGAAUGAGUUCGCCGUUGCCUUAGCCAUUUUAUUGUCCAUGAUCUAGCAUCCAGAUACAAACUUUAUUGAUCCUAUCCAGUUCAAGAUUCACGACCAACCAGCUUAUUGUGCUCACAUUGAGGAAGAAGCCAAUGGGAAACCUUGGUUCCAUGAUAUCAGAGAACACUUGAAAACAAGAGAGUACCAAAGCUUGCCAAUGCUACUUAGAAAUGCACACUUCGAAGAUUGUCCAACAACUUCUUUCACAGCGGAGGAAUCCUGUAUAGGAGGACUCCCGAUCUGGGAUUAUAAAGAUGUGUCGAGGCAAUAGAAGAAACCAAACUAUUGGAGGAAGUGCACGCAGGAACCUGCGGACCACAUAUGAAUGGUUUUGUUUUGGCAAAGAAGAUACUCCGAGCAGGGUAUUUUUGGAUGACUAUGGAAACCGACUGCAUCCAGUAUGUCAAGAAAUUCCACCUUUGUCAGAUAAAUGCGGAUAUGAUAAAAGUACAUCCAAACGAGCGUACUGUAAUAAGCUCACCAUGGUCGUUCGCUGCUUGGGGGAUGGUUGUUAUUGGACCAAUCGAACCAGCCGCGUCAAACGGACACAGGUUCAUUUUAGUGGCAAUUGAUUAAUUUACCAAAUGGGUUGAAGCAGCAUCAUACAAAGCAGUCACCAAGAAAGUAGCAACAAGUUUUGUCUGUGAUCGUAUGGUUUGCUGGUUCGGGAUUUCGGAAUCAAUCAUCACCGACAACGGUUCCAAUCUCAACAGCGACCUGAUGAAAGCAAUAUGUGAAACCUUCAAUAUUAAACACAAGAACUAUAUGGCUUACAGACCUUAUAUAAAUGGAGUUGUAGAAGCAGCCAAUAAGAACAUCAAGAAGAUACUAAGGAAGAUGAUCGAAAAGCACAAGCAGUGGCAUGAGAAGUUGUUGAUCGCCUUACUGGGUUAUCGUACCACGGUCCACAUGUCAAUUGGGGCCACUCCCUACAUGUUGGUUUAUUGUACACAGGCAGUCAUCCCCCCCGAGGUACAAAUUCCGUCCCUGAGGGUCAUACAAGAAGUAGAGUUAGAUGAUGCAGAAUGGGUCAAGAAUUGCUAUGAGCAAUUAGCCCUCAUAGACGGAAAGAGAAUGAAUGUUGUAUGUCACGGUCAAUUAUAUCAGAACAGACCCCAGAGCCAUCAACAAGAGAGUCAAGCCAAGGAAGUUCACGCCAGGAUAGCUGGUAUUGAAAAAAAUAUUUUUGCACCAAGAUGAAGCAAAAGGGAAGUUCUCUCCUAAUUGGCAGGGUCCGUUCAUGGUUCAUCGGAAUCUAACUGGAGGAGCCCUCACUCUUGCAGAAAUGAAUAGAUAAGUCUGGCCGAAGCCAAUAAACUCAGACGCAGUGAAAAGAUACUACAUUUGAUCAUAUGUUUUUUCUCUCAUGAUGUAAUUUGAACUACGCCUGACCUGAUUCCCGUUUAAGAGGGGAUACGUAGGCAGCCCUAUGGGUUCAGUCACAUCAUUAAUAAAAUUCCAUUUUCCCCCGCAAUUGGAACUGGGCAAAAUUUUGAGGAGGACCCUCAAAAUUCCGAAGUAGGUUUUCAGCCUUUUCAUCUACACCAACCCAAUAAACUGGGGUAGAAUUUUGAGAAGGGCCCUCAAAAUUAUGGAAUCAUCCCGCGUUCAGUUAUCCAGCACAGCCGUCAGCACCGCCACCCCAGUAACAUGGGGCAGAAUUUUGAGGAAGACCCUCAAAAUUUCGGAGCAAGCAAGGUCGUCGUGUCUUGAACCACGUUGCAGUUAUUGGUUCAUCCAAAUUAAAAUAAUAUAUAUAUAUNNNNNNNNNNNNNNNNNNNNNNNNNNNNNNNNNNNNNNNNNNNNNNNNNNNNNNNNNNNNNNNNNNNNNNNNNNNNNNNNNNNNNNNNNNNNNNNNNNNNNAUAUAUGUAUGUAUGUAUGUAUUUGCAUUUGCAAGUCAUGCACAACGCUACCCCUGUGAUGCGCGACGCCAAGAGACGGAGGAUACGAACUAACCUCACCUCUGCAAAACUCACAACUUUUCUUUGGAUACAGGAAUUCAGUCCAUGAAUCAAAGUAUAUUUGCUCUUCAGAAUCCAAAUCCUCUGAAGGAUCACUAUCCACACCCAACACUCCCCAGCAGUCCCAACAUCGCAAACCGUCUACUAGCUAAGAAAACUUACUACUAUUUGUUCUUUUACAUUCCUGCAUUGCAUAAGGCUAUUUUCUUCCAUUCUAGACUAAGUUCUAUCUCCGUCUGCAUUUUGCAUAAUGCUACUCUCUACCUUCCGAGGUUAAGCGCUACCUCCAUAUUGCAUAAGGCUAUUUAUCUGCCUUUCGAGACUAAGCUCUAUCUCCAUCUACAUCGCAUAAGGCUACUCUCUGCCUUUUGAGGUUAAGCUCUAACUCCAUAUUGGAUAAGGCUAUUAUCUGCCUUUCGAGACUAAGCUCUGUCUCCAUCUGCAUCGCGUAAGGCUACUCUCUGCCUUACGAGGUUAAGCCCUACCUCCAUAUUGCAUAAGGCUAUUAUCUGCCUUUCAAGGCUAAGCUCUGUCUCCAUCUGCAUUUUUGCAUAAGGCUACUCUCUGCCUUCUGAGGUUAAGUUCUACCUCCAUAUUGUGCAAGGCUAUUAUCUGCCUUUCGAGACUAAGCCAUGUCUCCAUCUGCAUUUUGCAUAAGGCUACUCUCCACCUUCCGAGUUUAAGAUCUACCUCCAUUUUGCAUAACGCUACUCUCUGCCUUCCGAGGUUAAGCUCUACCUCCAUAUUGCAUAAGGCUAUUUAUCUGCUUUUUGAGACUAAGUUCUGCCUCCAUUUGCAUCGCAUGAAAUAUCGCCGCUUUAUUUUCCGACUGGAUGAAACAUCUCCACCUGCAUUUUAAAUUCUCAUUCGGCUAAAAAAUCACCACCUAUUUUUUAAAUUCUCGCUCUGGCUGAAAGAUCGCCAUCCUUUGCAUUCAUUUGGCUGAAAGAUUGCCACCUCCUCAUGGGCUGAAAGAUCGCACACUCGUUCAAAGGCGUCAUAGUUCGGAGGCACCAUCGGCAUAGCCAAGAACAUCAUUUCAUGGCCCAGGACAUCAUAUUCUAAGGACGUCAUCCUAAUCGUCCGAAGACAAAUAUUCAUGGUCUAAUGGGAACUUGCAUCACGUUUAAAUUACGCAAUAUAUAUGCACAUAACCCAUUUGUAGGUACUCCGGGUGGCUCAUGUCCGUCUUAGUAGGAGCGAUCCCGCUCCAGUUCUCCGCAGCCUGUCCGAUUCUAAGCACCCUCUCAGGCCUAACCAUCGCGUACGUCUUUCCGAAUUUCCAUCGGCAUAUUCUGUCAAUGGUUCCUGAACUACAUAUGGUCUCAUUCUUGUAAGAGAUAUGUAGGAAGCUCAAAAGCUAGAGCACGGUCAAAAUCCGUUCACAUUUGCCUUUUCCGGUCAAUAUUGGCCAUCUUAUCUUUACCCGACAACUCUUUUAUCCCACUCGGAUAAGGAGGGGCAACUAUUUAUGCCCAAUUUUUUCCCUAUGUAUUUUUAUAUUCAAAAUAGUAUGUAUAUGCAUAUUUAAACGUCCCCAAAGGUUCUGGUAUUUUUCCAAAAUAUUUUAAGAUUAUUAAAACCAAUUUGUGGCCUAUUUUGCACUAUAAAAUCCAAUAAUUAUUCCCAAAACUUGUCAUUUUGGUGAAUAAUUUAUUUUAUUCUCACAUUUACACAAAAUAUAAUUUACACAAUUUUUUACACAAUUUUACAAGUGCAUUUGGCAUUUUUAAACUAAAAUUGCAUGAAAUUGCAAUUUUAGCCUAUUUCUCGAUUUAAUAGAAUUUUUAAUCACAAAAUCAUUCCCAAUAUUUUUAAAUUAAUACUUACAUGUUUUUUAUUAAAUUAGUAUUUUUAAUUUGAUUUUAAACAGCUUUUACUAUUUUUUAUAAAUUCAAAAUAGGAAAAUUGGUUAUUAAAAUUAUAGCCUCUUUUGCUUUCAAUUAUAACCCAAUUUCAAUCCCAAUCUACCCCUAAUUAAAUAACCCAAUUUCAAAUUUUACCUGACCCAGACCCAAUCAAAUGAACCCGACCAACGCACCCCUGAAUCUCGACCGUUUUGAUCAUUUAGAUCAACAAUCCAUGUUAGCCCCUUCCUUUUUUAACCCACAACCAAUCCUAACCCCCUCAUUUCUCAUUUCAUCAACCACCUCUAAACCCUUCAUCUCUCAAACUCUCUCAAGUCUUCUCCGAAACCCUAGCCCUUUUUCCACCGGUUUCCGCCUUAUCUCGUCGGAAACCAUGGCCUCCCAAGCCCUGGGUGGCCUGUACUCACCCCCAUGUGCCCUUAUACUCAUGUUACGUGAAGUUCCAAGGUCCAACCUUGAAGACCCUGGCUCAGAAUCCCUCUGAUUCAGGUUCUAUGGCCAUUUCCGGUUCAUCUACGGUGUAUCCUAGCCUUGCGAAAUCAUCUCCGACUCGGACCAGCCCUUUCAGGCCUUUCUCAUUUUUCUAGGGUUUCUCUGAAACCCUAAGCCAUUUUCGAGAUAUUCUUGUUCUUCUCUAGAUAUACCUUAAAUAUGUGCUAUUUCUAAGAUUUUGUUCUUACAUAUUUUCCAAUUUUUUUUUUCAAAACGGUUCGUCUUCUAGAACCUAGGUUUUCCUUGAUUUUUAUAUGUUCUACUGCGAUUUCUUACAUUAUUUUGCCUUACAGUAACUCCUAAAUGUUUUCACCAUGAUUCUGUGUAUUUUCUUUACUGUAUUUUCUUCAUAUGGUUUCUAGUGAUUUCUUUUACUCUGCUUUCUUAUAUGAAAUGUCUGUGUUCUUUGGGUUUUUCUGAGUUUAUUUUGCCUGAUUUUCUAUGCUUCGUCUUUGCAUGUAAGCUGUGGGGAAAAACCCUAAAUUUUGGGAUUUUUACCAUUCGUGUACGAUUGUUUUGAUUCUUGUGUUGUUUCCUAUCUGAUUUCAAAAACCUCUGAUUUAUCGCAUACUUAUUUUCUUCUAUUUCCGAUUGCAUGACCACUCUUUGUGUUUAAAUUUAGCCUCUGCAUGUUUAAGCUUAUGCAUCCUUUAUAGUCAGACCUUUCUCUCUCAAAAUAACCUUAAUUUUCGGAGAUUGAUUUCAGACCACCAUUAUGUGAGACUAUUUGAAUUUUUCCUUGUCUAAUUUGAACCAAUUUUCGGACAUAAUUCAGCAUUGAGUUCGAACCCUUAAUUCCUUAAUUUACUACUUGUUAAUUGAUUUUAUUCUUACCUUAUUUAUCUAAACCGUGUACUUUUAAAACUUCCCUUAUGUAUUUACACUUUUACUACAUAAUGUGUUCUUUAUUUUCUUUUCUUAAAUAAAAAAAUAUACCCUCUCCUAUUCAGAUUCGAACUCCUUAAUUAAAGGAGUUCUCUUCUUAUGAUUGAUUAUGAUUGAUACUGGACUAUUUCUUGCCUUGUUCACCUGGCUGUUUUGAUCUAUUAAUACCUCACUCUUUUUUUUAAAAAACAGACGAACAAUUGAGUUCAAAAAUACAGACACACACUCAAAGCUCUGUUCUUUACUAUUAUUUGUGCUAUUGUUCUGACUAGCCGGAUGAAAGCCAAGGCGAGACUUUGGAAUCUCUCUUGAUUUUCUCAAGUGUUUGCUGAAGAUUUCCUUGCUGUUUUCUUACUUUGUUAGUUCUGCUGUUUGAAAGUUGCAAUUGGUAUGUCCCUUAAAGUUAAACACUCUCCACAACUAUGUGUUUAAUUCUCCUUUUUGCAUGUCCCUCACUAUAUUUUCAGCUUUCUCGCACUAUGUAAUUGUGUUUUAGUCUGCUAUGUUCAUUCUUCAUGAUUUUGCAUCUUUAAGUUCGGUUACUUGAGGUUUUUCCAUGUGAACCCUUUCCCCUGACCCAUUUAUCUGUGAGUAUUGUUCUAGGUUAGGGUAGCAUCCCAUUGCUAUCCAUGACCUGGGACCAGGUCCUUUUGAACACUUACUCAAAUUAGUCCCAUUCCAUUCUCCCCUCUAUGUGUUGAGCCUUAACUAGGGUUUGGAGGUGUCCUAAUCACCACCCAGGCCCUUGUCUAAUUUCUAAAGUCUGCUCUUUAUCUGUUUAUACCAAGUGGAGGGUCAGGGGUGUGUCAGUCUUACCCAUGGCUAGGUAUGACCACCCUUUGCUUUGGUUUCCCCUAGUCCCCUCACUUUACACUUAUUCUUAGUUCUUUAAGUUC